AAUUUUUUUAAAAGACACAAAACUAGCCGAAAUUAUAAAAGGUUAUGAUUGCAAUCCUGGUAUCCAGUUACAUUCUCCCUCCUGCAGAAGCUGUGGAGAAUCCUGUCUCAGAAAACCAAUUUCUAUUUUGUCACAUGUCCAUCUAUGCAAAAUACAUGUACUUUGUCCCUGACAUAGGGCAACAAUGCUGAAUUUACUAAGACUCAUUUUUGCGCAUGGUUUGAUAGGGAAUUAAGAUUUACUAGGUAUUCUGUCAUUGUCCUCAUUACUGAUUAUUUUAACUGUGUCUCAAACACUUGGAUAGUACACUAUAGUGUUAUAAGCUGUUUGACAUGUCGCUUCCUAAAUUCUCAAGUUAUAUAUAUGUGUGUAUAUAUGUCAUGUAACAGGCACAACUGUUUUCAUGUGUAUCACUUUAUUGCACUUCACAGGUAUCAUAUGUUUCUUACAAAGUGGAGGUUUGUGGCAGCCCUGCAUGGAGCAAGUCUGUCAGCACCAUCUUUCUAACAGUAUGUGCUCACUUCAUGUCUCUCUCACAUUUUGGUAAUUCUUGGAAUGUUUCCGUUAUUAAAUCAGUUAUAGUGAUCUGUGAUUAGUGAUCUUUGAUAUUACUGUCAUAAUUGCUUGGGGGGCACCAUGAACCACCCCUAUAUAAGACAGCAAACUGAGUCGAUAAAUGUUUUAUGUGUUCUGACCACUGCACUGACCAGCUGCCUCCCUAUCUCUCUCAGAAGUAUGCUUUAGGAACUUAAUCCUUAUUUUUUAGCCUCUGGUAAAAUUGGUUUUGCUAUACGUUGUUUCACUUAAAAGUCCUGAUUCCCAAGAACGCACUGACAGCAGUGAGGACUUGCUGCGCAUGCGGGAGGCCAGAUUUUCUUAUCUGUGUGAAGCCAGACAUGAAAGAGAUCUGUCAACACAUAAAACAAAAUCAAAGUCUGUUUUUUGUCUGGAAAAGAUUUUUAAUAAAAAUAUAACUUAUGUUAGUGUCGUGUGUUUUUUAAGUGAAUAUUUUAAUAUGUUUAAUUUCUAUGUUAGUAAAUAGCAGUAGUAAACAACAGUGAGCAAAAGCUUUUAGGUGUCCUCAGUACAUUUUAAGAGAGUGCAAGCGUCCUGUGACCAAGAAGUUUGAGAACUGGUGCCCACCAGGUUCAUCUCACAAGUUCAGUAUUUUAAAUUCCACACAAAAGGU
This 1189-nucleotide long non-coding RNA is filed under the name Homo sapiens (human). Its description in RNAcentral is "non-protein coding lnc-IDI1-2:2". Lineage: Eukaryota; Metazoa; Chordata; Mammalia; Primates; Hominidae. The record is from RNAcentral.